This 578-nucleotide ribosomal RNA is filed under the name uncultured bacterium. RNAcentral describes it as "partial 16S ribosomal RNA". It matches the Rfam family "Bacterial small subunit ribosomal RNA", at positions 355 to 923 of the family's 1533-position model. The record is from RNAcentral.
UGGGGAAUUUUGGACAAUGGGCGAAAGCCUGAUCCAGCAAUGCCGCGUGUGUGAAGAAGGCCUUCGGGUUGUAAAGCACUUUUGUCCGGAAAGAAAUCCUUGGCUCUAAUACAGUCGGGGGAUGACGGUACCGGAAGAAUAAGCACCGGCUAACUACGUGCCAGCAGCCGCGGUAAUACGUAGGGUGCAAGCGUUAAUCGGAAUUACUGGGCGUAAAGCGUGCGCAGGCGGUUUGCUAAGACCGAUGUGAAAUCCCCGGGCUCAACCUGGGAACUGCAUUGGUGACUGGCAGGCUAGAGUAUGGCAGAGGGGGGUAGAAUUCCACGUGUAGCAGUGAAAUGCGUAGAGAUGUGGAGGAAUACCGAUGGCGAAGGCAGCCCCCUGGGCCAAAUACUGACGCUCAUGCACGAAAGCGUGGGGAGCAAAACAGGAUUAGAUACCCUGGUAGUCCACGCCCUAAAACGAUGUCAACUAGUUGUUGGGGAUUCAUUUCCUUAGUAACGUAGCUAACGCGUGAAGUUGACCGCCUGGGGAGUACGGUCGCAAGAUUAAAACUCAAAGGAAUUGACGGGGUCAUA